This 468-nucleotide ribosomal RNA is filed under the name uncultured bacterium. RNAcentral's name for it is "partial 16S ribosomal RNA". It matches the Rfam family "Bacterial small subunit ribosomal RNA", at positions 28 to 507 of the family's 1533-position model. The record is from RNAcentral.
GACGAACGCUGGCGGCGUGCUUAACACAUGCAAGUCGAACGGAAAGGCCCUGCUUUCGUGGUGUGCUCGAGUGGCGAACGGGUGAGUAACACGUGUGUAACCUGCCCUUGUUUUUGGGAUAACUUCAGGAAACUGGGGCUAAUACCGGAUAGGAGCUCCUGCUGCAUGGUGGGGGUUGGAAAGUUUCGGCGGUCGGGGAUGGACUCGCGGCUUAUCAGCUUGUUGGUGGGGUAGUGGCUUACCAAGGCUUUGACGGGUCGCCGGCCUGAGAGGGUGACCGGCCACAUUGGGACUGAGAUACGGCCCAGAGUCCUACGGGAGGCAGCAGUGGGGAAUAUUGCCCAAUGGGCGGAAGCCUGAUGCAGCAAUGCCGCGUGCGGGAUGACGGCCUUCGGGUUGUGAACCGCUUUCGCCUGUGACGAAGCGUGAGUGACGGUAAUGGGUAAAGAAGCACCGGCUAACUACGUG